This 504-nucleotide ribosomal RNA is filed under the name Triticum aestivum (bread wheat). RNAcentral describes it as "partial small subunit ribosomal RNA". Lineage: Eukaryota; Viridiplantae; Streptophyta; Magnoliopsida; Poales; Poaceae. The record is from RNAcentral.
UUACCAAAGUCUAGCAGCUGCAUCUGGUGAAGUUUAUUCGUUAGUGUGCUUGGUAAAAUUACGGUGCAUUCGAAUGUCCUGAAAGCAAGAUAGCAUAGGUCCUUUAACUGUCUCAUGGAUUCUGGUACCAGGAACUUCUCCAUCAUAGUUUGGAAGAUGUUCCCGGCUGAAAGCAACAGCCAAUACCCAUAGUUUACGUAGCCUCUUGCAUAUACUCUCCAUGACUUUUGCCUCAACUGAUGUAUCCCUUUCAACAACAUAUAUUAUGAGGGUGUGUAAAUUUUCCAAUCCAAGGAUCUUUUUGGUAAUCAAUUCUCCAUCAUAACGCUCUACAAGAAGAUGGCAGACGUCUUGGGGAACAUCUCCUUUCCAUCCUUCUCCUCUCUGACUCCUUGCAUUCUCGAUUCUGAAGCAGUCCGUUCCACUAAUCUUGUCUAAUAAAUCAUGCAACAGGUCAGGAAUUGUAAACCAAGUAUCAUGCCAUUCUCCUCCUUGCUGAAGAAA